Molecule: ribosomal RNA, 484 nt
Filed under: uncultured bacterium
Lineage: Bacteria
Description: partial 16S ribosomal RNA
Rfam family: Bacterial small subunit ribosomal RNA
Source: RNAcentral
AUUGAACGCUGGCGGCAGGCCUAACACAUGCAAGUCGAGCGGAUGAAGGGAGCUUGCUCCUGGAUUCAGCGGCGGACGGGUGAGCAAUGCCUAGGAAUCUGCCUGGUAGUGGGGGAUAACGUCCGGAAACGGGCGCUAAUACCGCAUACGUCCUGAGGGAGAAAGUGGGGGAUCUUCGGACCUCACGCUAUCAGAUGAGCCUAGGUCGGAUUAGCUAGUUGGUGGGGUAAAGGCCUACCAAGGCGACGAUCCGUAACUGGUCUGAGAGGAUGAUCAGUCACACUGGAACUGAGACACGGUCCAGACUCCUACGGGAGGCAGCAGUGGGGAAUAUUGGACAAUGGGCGAAAGCCUGAUCCAGCCAUGCCGCGUGUGUGAAGAAGGUCUUCGGAUUGUAAAGCACUUUAAGUUGGGGGGAAGGGCAGUAAGUUAAUACCUUGCUGUUUUGACGUUACCAACAGAAUAAGCACCGGCUAACUUCGUG